CAGCAGCCGCGGGAAUACGAGGGGGGCAAGCGUUGUUCGGGUUUAUUGGGCGUAAAGGGUGCGUAGGCGGUUUGGCAAGUCUUGUGCGAAAUCUUCGGGCUCAACCCGAAGCCUGCACGAGAAACUACCGGGCUUGAGUAUUGGAGAGGUGAGUGGAAUUUCCGGUGUAGCGGCGAAAUGCGUAGAUAUCGGAAGGAACACCUGUGGCGAAAGCGGCUCACUGGACAGUAACUGACGCUGAUGCACGAAAGCUAGGGGAGCAAACAGGAUUAGAUACCCGAGUAGUCCCUGUCUCUUAUAC
This 301-nucleotide ribosomal RNA is filed under the name uncultured bacterium. RNAcentral's name for it is "partial 16S ribosomal RNA". It matches the Rfam family "Bacterial small subunit ribosomal RNA", at positions 509 to 807 of the family's 1533-position model. The record is from RNAcentral.